GACGAACGCUGGCGGCGUGCCUAAUACAUGCAAGUAGAACGCUGAAGGAGGAGCUUGCUCUUCUGGAUGAGUUGCGAACUGGUGAGUAACGCGUAGGUAACCUGCCUGGUAGCGGGGGAUAACUAUUGGAAACGAUAGCUAAUACCGCAUAAGAGUAGAUGUUGCAUGACAUUUACUUAAAAGGUGCAAUUGCAUCACUACCAGAUGGACCUGCGUUGUAUUAGCUAGUUGGUGGGGUAACGGCUUACCAAGGCGACGAUACAUAGCCGACCUGAGAGGGUGAUCGGCCACACUGGGACUGAGACACGGCCCAGACUCCUACGGGAGGCAGCAGUAGGGAAUCUUCGGCAAUGGACGGAAGUCUGACCGAGCAACGCCGCGUGAGUGAAGAAGGUUUUCGGAUCGUAAAGCUCUGUUGUAAGAGAAGAACGAGUGUGAGAGUGGAAAGUUCACACUGUGACGGUAUCUUACCAGAAAGGGACGGCUAACUACGUG
This 495-nucleotide ribosomal RNA is filed under the name uncultured bacterium. Its description in RNAcentral is "partial 16S ribosomal RNA". It matches the Rfam family "Bacterial small subunit ribosomal RNA", at positions 28 to 507 of the family's 1533-position model. The record is from RNAcentral.